This 73-nucleotide transfer RNA is filed under the name Arsukibacterium ikkense. RNAcentral's name for it is "tRNA-Pro". It matches the Rfam family "tRNA". From Rfam's summary of the family: Transfer RNA (tRNA) molecules are approximately 80 nucleotides in length. Their secondary structure includes four short double-helical elements and three loops (D, anti-codon, and T loops). Lineage: Bacteria; Pseudomonadati; Pseudomonadota; Gammaproteobacteria; Chromatiales; Chromatiaceae. The record is from RNAcentral.
CGGUGAUUGGCGCAGCUUGGUAGCGCACUUGGUUUGGGUCCAAGGGGUCGCAGGUUCAAAUCCUGCAUCACCG